Long non-coding RNA from Chenopodium quinoa (quinoa), 632 nucleotides. RefSeq lists it as uncharacterized. The transcript has 2 exons. The record is from RefSeq and is a predicted model, not a curated record. NCBI's taxonomy places the organism in Eukaryota, Viridiplantae, Streptophyta, Magnoliopsida, Caryophyllales, Amaranthaceae.
AAUUGCGAAAAAUCGAGCAAAUUACCUUAAUUAAAUUUGAGCAAAAUAACAAUUGAAAGUUAGGGUUUGUACUCAAUAAUAUGGAAUUUUGGCUCUAUUGUUGCUGAAGUUGCAUAUGCAAAAUCGAUUUCAAGCAAGGAACUGGUGACUUUAUUUAAACUGUUUGCAAGAGAAAAAGGAAGUGGACUUCCAUUAUGGACUUGUUCGAUCGUGUUAGGGAAAAUGAAGAUUUUGUCCCUAAAUUGAAUUACGCUGGCUUCAAAUUCCAUAUUAUUUAUUGGAUUAUUUUGUUAUAGUUCUUAGGCUUGAAAUGAACGCAUUUGAUUUACCAACAUUUGGUUUGGUUUGGUGCUUGUGUUAUACUUAUUAAUUAAUGAUGAAGAGGUCAAUAUUGUUUUGUUGUAAACUUAGCGCAUGUUGGACUCUUGUUUUGGAUUAUAGGCUUGAAAUGAAAUUUGGUUAAUUGGUGUUGGGAUGAUGAGUAUAAUGUCUAUGAUAUUGAGAUGUAAAUUAUUAGACAGGUUAUUAAUAUAAUGCCGUCAUUCCCAAUUUUAUGGGUAGGCCAAAUUACAAAGGAGACUCUGCCGAAAUUUACAUUUGCAUUAUUCAAUAAUAUUGCAUUUUAAUUUCAA